This 1527-nucleotide ribosomal RNA is filed under the name Klebsiella pneumoniae. RNAcentral's name for it is "bacterial SSU rRNA". It matches the Rfam family "Bacterial small subunit ribosomal RNA". The record is from RNAcentral. Lineage: Bacteria; Pseudomonadati; Pseudomonadota; Gammaproteobacteria; Enterobacterales; Enterobacteriaceae.
AGAGUUUGAUCAUGGCUCAGAUUGAACGCUGGCGGCAGGCCUAACACAUGCAAGUCGAGCGGUAGCACAGAGAGCUUGCUCUCGGGUGACGAGCGGCGGACGGGUGAGUAAUGUCUGGGAAACUGCCUGAUGGAGGGGGAUAACUACUGGAAACGGUAGCUAAUACCGCAUAACGUCGCAAGACCAAAGUGGGGGACCUUCGGGCCUCAUGCCAUCAGAUGUGCCCAGAUGGGAUUAGCUAGUAGGUGGGGUAACGGCUCACCUAGGCGACGAUCCCUAGCUGGUCUGAGAGGAUGACCAGCCACACUGGAACUGAGACACGGUCCAGACUCCUACGGGAGGCAGCAGUGGGGAAUAUUGCACAAUGGGCGCAAGCCUGAUGCAGCCAUGCCGCGUGUGUGAAGAAGGCCUUCGGGUUGUAAAGCACUUUCAGCGGGGAGGAAGGCGAUAAGGUUAAUAACCUCAUCGAUUGACGUUACCCGCAGAAGAAGCACCGGCUAACUCCGUGCCAGCAGCCGCGGUAAUACGGAGGGUGCAAGCGUUAAUCGGAAUUACUGGGCGUAAAGCGCACGCAGGCGGUCUGUCAAGUCGGAUGUGAAAUCCCCGGGCUUAACCUGGGAACUGCAUUCGAAACUGGCAGGCUAGAGUCUUGUAGAGGGGGGUAGAAUUCCAGGUGUAGCGGUGAAAUGCGUAGAGAUCUGGAGGAAUACCGGUGGCGAAGGCGGCCCCCUGGACAAAGACUGACGCUCAGGUGCGAAAGCGUGGGGAGCAAACAGGAUUAGAUACCCUGGUAGUCCACGCCGUAAACGAUGUCGAUUUGGAGGUUGUGCCCUUGAGGCGUGGCUUCCGGAGCUAACGCGUUAAAUCGACCGCCUGGGGAGUACGGCCGCAAGGUUAAAACUCAAAUGAAUUGACGGGGGCCCGCACAAGCGGUGGAGCAUGUGGUUUAAUUCGAUGCAACGCGAAGAACCUUACCUGGUCUUGACAUCCACAGAACUUUCCAGAGAUGGAUUGGUGCCUUCGGGAACUGUGAGACAGGUGCUGCAUGGCUGUCGUCAGCUCGUGUUGUGAAAUGUUGGGUUAAGUCCCGCAACGAGCGCAACCCUUAUCCUUUGUUGCCAGCGGUCCGGCCGGGAACUCAAAGGAGACUGCCAGUGAUAAACUGGAGGAAGGUGGGGAUGACGUCAAGUCAUCAUGGCCCUUACGACCAGGGCUACACACGUGCUACAAUGGAUAUACAAAGAGAAGCGACCUCGCGAGAGCAAGCGGACCUCAUAAAGUAUGUCGUAGUCCGGAUUGGAGUCUGCAACUCGACUCCAUGAAGUCGGAAUCGCUAGUAAUCGUAGAUCAGAAUGCUACGGUGAAUACGUUCCCGGGCCUUGUACACACCGCCCGUCACACCAUGGGAGUGGGUUGCAAAAGAAGUAGGUAGCUUAACCUUCGGGAGGGCGCUUACCACUUUGUGAUUCAUGACUGGGGUGAAGUCGUAACAAGGUAACCGUAGGGGAACCUGCGGUUGGAUCACCU